AUUGAAACACACGUUCCCGUGCGAUCACCGAAGUUAAGCAACGUCGAGCUUGGUCAGUGCCUAGAUGAGUGACAACUUAGGAAUACCAUGUGCUGUAAG
Molecule: non-coding RNA, 99 nt
Organism: Acanthosepion pharaonis
Lineage: Eukaryota; Metazoa; Mollusca; Cephalopoda; Sepiida; Sepiidae
Source: the annotation of a GenBank genome assembly